This 130-nucleotide ribosomal RNA is filed under the name uncultured bacterium. Its description in RNAcentral is "partial 16S ribosomal RNA". The record is from RNAcentral.
UACGGGAGGCAGCAGUGGGGUAAUAUUCCACAAUGGAAAGAACUUCUGAUGCAACGACCGCCGCGUGAAGAGAAGAAUUUCUUCGUUGUAAUAAUACCUCUGUCCCUUGACGAAGAAAAUGACCGUCCCA